Molecule: non-coding RNA, 148 nt
Filed under: Homo sapiens (human)
Lineage: Eukaryota; Metazoa; Chordata; Mammalia; Primates; Hominidae
Source: Rfam by way of RNAcentral
GCUGGGCACGGUGGUGCAUGCCUGUAAUCCCAGCACUUCGGGAGGCUGAGGUGGGAGGAUUACUUGAGCCCAGGAGUUUGACACUGCAGUGAGCCAUGAUCACGCCACUGCACUUCAGCCUGGGUGACAUAGUGAGACCCAGUCUCUA